UGGAGCGUAGAGCAGAGUACGCUGCUCAACAGCACUCAUAACCUGAAGGUCGUAGGUUCAAAUCCUACCCCCGCAACCA
This 79-nucleotide transfer RNA is filed under the name uncultured Sphingomonas sp. RNAcentral's name for it is "tRNA-Pseudo-???". The record is from RNAcentral. Lineage: Bacteria; Pseudomonadati; Pseudomonadota; Alphaproteobacteria; Sphingomonadales; Sphingomonadaceae.